UCCUACGGGAGGCAGCAGUAGGGAAUCUUCCGCAAUGGACGAAAGUCUGACGGAGCAACGCCGCGUGAGUGAUGAAGGUUUUCGGAUCGUAAAACUCUGUCGUUAGGGAAGAACAAGUACCGUUCGAAUAGGGCGGUACCUUGACGGUACCUAACCAGAAAGCCACGGCUAACUACGUGCCAGCAGCCGCGGUAAUACGUAGGUGGCAAGCGUUGUCCGGAAUUAUUGGGCGUAAAGCGCGCGCAGGCGGUUUCUUAAGUCUGAUGUGAAAGCCCCCGGCUCAACCGGGGAGGGUCAUUGGAAACUGGGGAACUUGAGUGCAGAAGAGGAGAGUGGAAUUCCACGUGUAGCGGUGAAAUGCGUAGAGAUGUGGAGGAACACCAGUGGCGAAGGCGACUCUCUGGUCUGUAACUGACGCUGAGGCGCGAAAGCGUGGGGAGCGAACAGGAUUAGAUACCCUGGUAGUCCACGCCGUAAACGAUGAGUGCUAAGUGUUAGAGGGUUUCCGCCCUUUAGUGCUGCAGCAAACGCAUUAAGCACUCCGCCUGGGGAGUACGGUCGCAAGACUGAAACUCAAAUGAAUUGACGGGGGCCCGCACAAGCGGUGGAGCAUGUGGUUUAAUUCGAUGCAACGCGAAGAACCUUACC
This 648-nucleotide ribosomal RNA is filed under the name uncultured bacterium. Its description in RNAcentral is "bacterial SSU rRNA". It matches the Rfam family "Bacterial small subunit ribosomal RNA", at positions 337 to 975 of the family's 1533-position model. The record is from RNAcentral.